This is a long non-coding RNA of Zalophus californianus (California sea lion), 1097 nucleotides long. RefSeq lists it as uncharacterized. The record is from RefSeq and is a predicted model, not a curated record. NCBI's taxonomy places the organism in Eukaryota, Metazoa, Chordata, Mammalia, Carnivora, Otariidae. The transcript is spliced from 4 exons.
CACAGAUGUGCCAACACUGAGAGCUAUACUGGGACAGUCUGUCUCCUGCGAAAAAGACCAGCAUGGGCUUUGCAUGACAGUGAGGCAGGAUCGCUCCUCUCCAGCUAUUUUCCUGAUGGCAGAAUCAGAAGAUGACGGUGGCAUAGGAGGACCCAACUAGAUAACUAUCAAAUCAUCCUAAAUACACCAGAAAUCAAACUGAAGACUCACAGAACAAACUCCACAACUAAAGAGAGACAAAGGACCACAUUGAAGAAGCACCAGCACCUUGAAUUAUGAUGUCAUCAUUCUGCAGUCCACUAAGCUCAGAGGAGGCAAAGUAGCAGCUGUCUUCGGUCAUCCCAAAUCCAGGUUCGUUCGACACCAGCCGCCUCCACCAUGCUGCCUAAGUUUGACCCCAACGAGAUCAGAGUCGUAUACCUGAGGUGCAUGGGUUGGGGCACUGAAGAUCAUCCCUCUGGGUUUGUCUCUAAGGCAACCGGUGAUUGGAAGGGUCUGAGGCUGACAGUGAAGAGCUGACCAUUUAGAACAGCCAGGACAGAUUGACAAGGUACCUUCUGCCUCUGCCUUGUUAUCAAAGCCCUCAAGGAACCUCCAAGAGAUAAAAAGAAGCAGAAAACAUUAAGCCAGUGGAAACAUCACUUUUGAUGAAACUGUCAACCCUGCUUGACUGAUGUGACACCGAUCUUUAGCCAGAGAACUCUCUGGAAUCAUUAAAGAGAUCCUGGGGACUGCCCAGUCUGUAGGCUGCAAUGUUGAUGGCUGCUACCCCAUGACAUCAUAGAUAACAUCAAUAGUGGUGUGGUGGAAAGCCCAGCUAGUUAAGAACUACAAAGGAAAAUACUUCAAUAAAGGAUCAUUUGACAACCAAAAAAAAAAGAGGAAGAAGAAGAAGGAAAAAAAAGGCUUAACUUUCUCUCCACUAAUGACUUCUGUCUACACAUGGAGAUAUUUUGACUUACAAGAUUAAAACACCCAGGGAUGCCUGGGUGGCUCAGUGGGUUAAGCGUCUGCCUAUGGCUCAGGUCAUGAUCUCAGGGUCCUGCUCAUUGGGGAGCCUGCUUCUCCCUCUUCCUUUGUUGCUCCUCCUGCUGGUG